CCUACGGGAGGCAGCAGUGAGGAAUAUUGGUCAAUGGGCGAGAGCCUGAACCAGCCAAGUCGCGUGAGGGAGUACUGCCCUAUGGGUUGUAAACCUCUUUUGUCGGGGAGCAAAAGCCGGACGUGUCCGGCUGUGAGAGUACCCGAAGAAAAAGCAUCGGCUAACUCCGUGCCAGCAGCCGCGGUAAUACGGAGGAUGCGAGCGUUAUCCGGAUUUAUUGGGUUUAAGGGGUGCGCGGGCGGAGUUUUAAGUGAGCGGUAAAAUCGUGGGGCUCAACCACAUCCAGCCGUUGAAAGUGGGGGUGUGGAGUGUGCGAGAGGUAUGCGGAAGGCGUGGUGUAGGGGUGAAAGGCAUAGCUAUCACGCAGAACCCC
This 373-nucleotide ribosomal RNA is filed under the name uncultured bacterium. RNAcentral describes it as "partial 16S ribosomal RNA". It matches the Rfam family "Bacterial small subunit ribosomal RNA", at positions 338 to 710 of the family's 1533-position model. The record is from RNAcentral.